UACGGAGGGUGCAAGCGUUAUCCGGAUUCACUGGGUUUAAAGGGUGCGUAGGUGGGCUUGUAAGUCAGUGGUGAAAUCUCCGUGCUUAACAUGGAAACUGCCAUUGAUACUAUGGGUCUUGAAUUAUCUGGAGGUUAGCGGAAUAUGUCAUGUAGCGGUGAAAUGCUUAGAUAUGACAUAGAACACCAAUUGCGAAGGCAGCUGGCUACAGGUAUAUUGACACUGAGGCACGAAAGCGUGGGGAUCAAACAGG
RNAcentral lists this ribosomal RNA (253 nucleotides) under uncultured bacterium. RNAcentral describes it as "partial 16S ribosomal RNA". It matches the Rfam family "Bacterial small subunit ribosomal RNA", at positions 524 to 776 of the family's 1533-position model. The record is from RNAcentral.